Molecule: ribosomal RNA, 447 nt
Filed under: uncultured bacterium
Lineage: Bacteria
Description: partial 16S ribosomal RNA
Rfam family: Bacterial small subunit ribosomal RNA
Source: RNAcentral
GACGAACGCUGGCGGCAGGCUUAACACAUGCAAGUCGAGCGCCCCGCAAGGGGAGCGGCAGUCGGGUGAGUAACGCCGGGGAACGUGCCCUUUGGUUCGUAACAACUCCGGGAAACUGGAGAUAAUACCGGAUAAGCCCCUCGGGGGUAAGAUUUAUCGCCAAAGGAUCGGCCCGCGUCUGAAUAGCGAGUUGGUGAGGUAAUGGCUCACCAAGGCGACGAUCAGUAGCUGGGCUGAGAGGAUGAUCAGCCACACUGGGACGGAGACACGGCACAGACUCCUACGGGAGGCAGCAGUGGGGAAUAUUGGACAAUGGGCGCAAGCCUGAUCCAGCCAUGCCGCGUGAGGGAUGAAGGCCUUAGGGUUGUAAAGCUCUUUUGUCCGGGAAGAUAAUGACUGUACCGGAAGAAUAAGCCCCGGCUAACUUCGUGCCAGCAGCCGCCGUAA